Arachis duranensis is the source of this 1350-nucleotide long non-coding RNA. RefSeq lists it as uncharacterized. Lineage: Eukaryota; Viridiplantae; Streptophyta; Magnoliopsida; Fabales; Fabaceae. The record is from RefSeq and is a predicted model, not a curated record. The transcript is spliced from 2 exons.
AAGGGGGAGUAGCGCCGGUGGGUGUCACUGCCACUGUUAUUGCUGUUGUUAUUGGAUAGAAAGCACAGAGAGGCCGUCGCACUUCUAGCCGCCACCGAAGCUCCCCUCACCAAGAAAAGAGGAAUAAUGAUGGAAAAGAAAGGUUGAUGGGGGUGGGUAACGCCGCUGUGUCGCUAGGGCUAGCCACCGGAGCCCCUAUCGUCACCGUUGCAUGUGGGAAGGGGAGAUGACGUUGCCGAUUUUGAUUCUACCCAAAUCCCAAUUUAUUCAAAAUUCCUAAUUUCACUUUUGCCCAAAAUUAAACCCUAAUUCCCAAAUUAAACCCGACAAAUCUUAACCUCCACCGCCUUUCACCGCCAUACUUUCCUUUUUCUCCCUCAGCAGCCGCCAAACCCCCUAUUACUCACCACCAUCACCCUCAUCUCUCUCACACCCUCACCUUCAAUUUUCAUUCAUCAACCCACAUAAUAAACAAACAUACACACGCAUGGCAGAGAGGAGAUCUGGGAAGAGAGGGAGUUGCGCCGCGAGGGAGAAGAAGGGAUGAGGAAGGAGGAAGCUGCGUAUCGUCCCACCCCAGCUCCCCGCCGCCGCGUCCUUUUGUUGCCGCCAUCACGUAUCAGAUCUGAGGCGAGAGAGAGAGAGAGAGAGAGACGUGAAUGAGGAGAGAAGCCGCGCGUUGCCGCCGUACCCAGUCGCAUCCUCACCACGAAGCCAUCAUCACCAUUGAGGAGCAGAGCCGUAAAGAGAGCGAAGGUUGUGGGCCUAGGACCGCCACGACGUCGACGAAGUCACUGCGCUGUUGCCGCAAUUAUGGUUGCCAUCACCUCUGACGGGUUCUGCCACGAGGAGAAGCUCGAGUGGGAGUGAGGGAGACGCAACCAGAUGUGAAUGGAGGGAGAAGACAGACUCGCCGGACAAAGAGGAGGCCUUGUGGCCGUGCCUGGUCAUCGAGAAACUUCAUGUGGCCGUCGAAACCACCACAGUGACUGCUGCUAUUUGGUUCAGUCAUUACUCCUUAAUAUGAUGCAGGACGUGAGGCACCUCACUGAGCGUGCUGGAGACUCCUUCAGAAGCAAAGAUAUACUUUUGGGACUUUCAUUUUAUGUACUUAGCUUAUAUAUAUGUGUAUAUUUCCCACUAUUAUAUUAAAACUUGUAUUGUCUUCCUAGAGGUUGAUUUAGAGAUUCAAGAUUGGUAUUUUAUCCUUUGGUUUAUUUUUUGGUUGUAUAUAUUUUUUUUUCUAGCCGAACUUUGCUUCGUAAGUCGAGUUUAGGACUUGAUUAUGUAUCUCUGUAUUGGAAUUCUCUCUCUCUAUAUAUACAUAUGUCUCUUCGAUUUUUUGUAUAA